This 62-nucleotide small nuclear RNA is filed under the name Prolemur simus (greater bamboo lemur). Its description in RNAcentral is "U7 small nuclear RNA (ENSPSMG00000003223.1)". It matches the Rfam family "U7 small nuclear RNA". From Rfam's summary of the family: Animal histone pre-mRNAs are spliced by a different mechanism than nuclear pre-mRNAs and self-splicing introns. This processing involves the U7 snRNP, which contains only one RNA species: U7. Lineage: Eukaryota; Metazoa; Chordata; Mammalia; Primates; Lemuridae. The record is from Rfam by way of RNAcentral.
AAGUGUUACAGGUCUUUUAGAAUUUGUCUAGCAGGUUUUCUGGUUUUCAUGGGAAAACUCCC